Molecule: ribosomal RNA, 1765 nt
Filed under: Pinus taeda (loblolly pine)
Lineage: Eukaryota; Viridiplantae; Streptophyta; Pinopsida; Pinales; Pinaceae
Description: SSU rRNA
Rfam family: Eukaryotic small subunit ribosomal RNA
Source: RNAcentral
CCUAGUUGAUCUUGCCAGUAGUCAUAUGCUUGUCUCAAAGAUUAAGCCAUGCAUGUCUAAGUAUGAACUAAUUCAGACUAUGAAACUGCGGAUGGCUCAUUAAAUCAAUUAUAGUUUUUUUAUGGUACCAUACUACUCAGAUAAUAUUAUUAAUUCUAGAGAUAAUACGUGAACCAAGUCCCGACUCUUUGGAAGGGAUGCAUUUUUUAGAUAAAAGGUCGAUGCGGGCUUGCCCGCUUCUGUGGUGAAUCAUGAUAACUUGACGGAUCGCAUAGCCCUUGUGUUGGGGAUGCUUCAUUCAAAUUUCUGCCCUAUCAACUUUUGAUGGUAGGAUAGAGGCCUAUCAUAGUGGUGACAGGUGAUGGAGAAUUAGGGUUGGAUUCUAGAGAGGGAGCCUGAGAAACGACUACCAUAUCCAAGGAAGGCAGCAGGCGCACAAAUUACCCAAUCCUGACGUGGGGAGGUAGUGACCAUAAAUAACAAUACUAGGCUCAUCGAGUCUGGUAAUUGGAAUGAGUACAAUCUAAAUCCCUUAACGAGGAUCCAUUGGAGGGCAAGUCCGGUGCUAGCAGCCGUGGUAAUUCCAGCUCCAAUAGCAUAUAUUUAAGUUGUUGUAGUUAAAAAGCUCGUAGUUGGAUCUUGGGUCAUAAAGGUCGGUCCGCCUACUCGGUGUGCACCUGCCCUUCCAUCCCUAUUCUCGGCGGUGUGCUCCUAGCCUUAAUUGGCUAGGUCGCGGCUCUGCCACUGUUACUUUGGAAAAAUUAGAGUGCUCAAAGCAAGCUCAUGCUCUGAAUACAUUAGCAUGGAAUAACGUGAUAGGAGUCUGGUCCUAUUGUGUUGGCCUUCGGGACCGGAGUAAUGAUUAAUAGGGAUUGUCGGGGGCAUUUGUAUUUCAUUGCCAGAGGUGAAAUUCUUGGAUUUAUGAAAGAUGGACCACUGCAAAAGCAUUUGCCAAGAAUGCUUUCAUUAACGAAGAACGAAAGUUGGGGGCUCGAAGAUGAUCAGAUAUCGUCCUAGUCUCAACCAUAAACGAUGCCGACCAGGGAUUGGCAGAUGUGUCUCUAAGGACUCUACCAGCACCUUCUGAGAAAUUAGAGUGUUUGGGUUCCAGGGGCAGUAUGGCCACAAGCUGAAACUUAAAGGAAUUGAUGGAAGGGCACCACUAGGAGUGGAGCCUGUGGCUUAAUUUGACUCAACACAGGGAAACUUACCAGGUCUAGACAUAGUGAGGAUUGACAGAUUGAGAGCUCUUUCUUGAUUCUAUGGGUGGUAGUGCAUGGUUUUUCUUAGUUGGUGGAGAGAUUUGUCUGGUUAAUUCCAAUAAUGAAUGAGACCUCAGCCUGCUAACUAGCUACGUCGAGGUUCCCCUUCGCAGCCAGAAGUUUGAGGCAAUAAUAGGUCUGUGAUGCCCUUAGAUGUUAUGGGCCGCAUGCAUGCUACACUGAUACAGCCAAUGAGUUUCUCUUCUUGGUUCGAGAGGAUCGGGAAAUAUUCUCAAAUUACAUCAUGAUGGGGAUAGACCAUUGCAAUUACUGGUCUUCAAUGAGGAAUUCCUAGUAAGUGCAUGUCAUCAACACAUGUUGACUACGUCCCUACCCUUUGCACACACCGCUCGUUGCUCAUAUCGAUUGAAUGAUCUGGUGAAGUGUUCGGAUUGUCGACGAUGGUGGUUCACCACCGUCGACGUCAUGAUAAGUUCAUUGAACCUUAUCAUUUAGAGGAAGGAGAAGUCAUAACAAGGUUACCAUAGGUGAAGCUACGGUAG